GACGAACGCUGGCGGCGUGCUUAACACAUGCAAGUCGACCUAAGUGGCGAAAGGGGGAGUAAUACGUGGGUAAGCUGGUGUCCCUUUUGGGGUAAGCAUUGGAAACGGGGUCUAAUACGGAAUAAAGGGGGAUGGGCUCGUGGCGGAUCGGCAGUUUGGGGGGGUGAUGGCCUACCAAGGCGGUGAUGGGUCGACGGCCUGAGAGGGUGACCUGCCACAUUGGGACGGAGAUACGGCCUAGACUCAUACGGGAGGAAGCAGUGGGGGCUAUUGCAGAAUGGGCGAAAGCCUGAUGCAGCGAGGCCGCGUGGGGGAUGAAGGCUUUCGGGUUGUAAACCUCUUUCGCUAUCGAACGGGUAGGUGGAGAAGAAGCGCCGGCUAACUACGUGCCAGCAGCCGCGGUAAUUC
RNAcentral lists this ribosomal RNA (408 nucleotides) under uncultured bacterium. Its description in RNAcentral is "partial 16S ribosomal RNA". It matches the Rfam family "Bacterial small subunit ribosomal RNA", at positions 28 to 526 of the family's 1533-position model. The record is from RNAcentral.